Molecule: long non-coding RNA, 596 nt
Filed under: Medicago truncatula (barrel medic)
Lineage: Eukaryota; Viridiplantae; Streptophyta; Magnoliopsida; Fabales; Fabaceae
Description: long non-coding RNA (MTRU_LNC004387)
Source: RNAcentral
UAAUAUUUACAACCUAAAACUUAGAUUGAAUUGGUUUGUCUACUAACCAAUUCAUCCAAAGCUUCCUUCAUCCAAGCAUAUGGGCAUAUUUCUUUUGCUUCAUCCACAGUCAACUGCAUGAUUACAAAUGAAAGAAAUAUUAGGAUACUAACAAAAAAUAAUAAUAGUAAAGAAAGAAUGAUACUUAAUUAAGAUAUUGCAAUUUGCAAGAUGAAUUGACAUUUGAGUAUGACACAAAAAUUUAUAAAUGCCACAUGAUUAGGAUCAAGGUUUUGAAAAACAUAUAUGCAACCUCAAUCUGCGCCGCGACGUCAGGAUUUUUGAUAUCUCAGUGGGCUUCAAUUGAGGUUACAAAAGUUGUAUAGGAUCAAGGUUUUGAAAAACAUAUAUGCAACAUCAAUCUGCGCUGCGACAUCAAGAUUUUGACGUCGCAGCGGCUUUGAUUGAGGUUGCAAUAAUUGUAUUUGACUACAAUUCUCCGCAAUAGCAAGAAUCGUGUCGCGACCAUGAUUAGGAUAUAAUGAAAGAUGAAUAGGUCUCAUAUACACUUACCCAUUUUCUUCUUCUUAUGUUCAUUUCUGGCCAAUUAUCCAACU